AAGGUAGAAAAAUGCCCGCAAGGAUACGUGGUUUGUCAAGCGAAAAAUAAACAUCGACUUGAUGCUAUCCAAACACGGAUCAGUAAUCAAGCUCCUGCUGAAGGAACUGUCCAGUCUGGCAGUGAUGGCUGUCCGUUCGUUGAGAAACCCAAGGAAAAUGUUAAUAUUCCGGAUGAUCAACUGUUACAAAAAAAGACCAAAGUGUCACCUAAAAUCAUAAAAAAAGAACAAGACAAGAAGACGUAUAAGUUAUUCGAAAUAGUAGAGUUCUCGUGCCAAGCAUCAGGUAACCCUAAGCCGGUUAUUACAUGGGAGUAUUUGAAUGACAAAAAAGCGCUCGUACAAAAUGGAAAGAUUACUUUAGAGGUAAUUA
This is a long non-coding RNA of Cotesia glomerata, 373 nucleotides long. RefSeq lists it as uncharacterized. Lineage: Eukaryota; Metazoa; Arthropoda; Insecta; Hymenoptera; Braconidae. The record is from RefSeq and is a predicted model, not a curated record. The transcript is spliced from 3 exons.